Molecule: ribosomal RNA, 119 nt
Filed under: Pteropus alecto (black flying fox)
Lineage: Eukaryota; Metazoa; Chordata; Mammalia; Chiroptera; Pteropodidae
Also listed under: 1 other name
Source: RNAcentral
GUCUAUGGCCAUGCUACCCUGAACAGGCCUGAUCCCAUCUGAUCUCAGAAGCUAAGCAGGGUCAGGCCUGGUUAGUACUUGGAUGGGAGACCACCUAGGAAGACCAGGUGCUACAGGCA